UUCUCUUAAAACCUCUUGUGAAAUCUAAGGAAAUCGACGGUUGUAUGUUUUCUUGUAAAAUCUGAGAAAUCUAGAGGUUUUCUUCUUCAACUGCUGGAGGUUCUCUUCUUCAAUCUUUGAGGUUAUAGCUGAAGAAACUACAAGUUUAGGCUUUUGAGGUUCCUGAAAUGGAAGCUGAACACUAUCCUUCCAAGGAAGAUGUGAUUUUACAGAAUGAGUCUCAAACAUAUUUUUACAUAAUAGUCUCAGGAGCAUUGGUAAGUUAAUAUGUUGGGAACAAUUACUUGAAGUUAAUAUGUGUACUAUUGCAGAAUCUUCUAGUAGAUAUCGAUGGACGUGAACAAAUCAUUGGGAAGGCUGUUGCUCGAGAAUAAUUUGGAGAAAUAGGUGUUUUACUUGGAAGGCCA
Molecule: long non-coding RNA, 407 nt
Organism: Solanum tuberosum (potato)
Lineage: Eukaryota; Viridiplantae; Streptophyta; Magnoliopsida; Solanales; Solanaceae
Exons: 3
Source: RefSeq, a predicted model, not a curated record